AUGCUGAGCUCGCUGAGGUACCUGGCCGGCUCGGCGGGCCCGAGCGGCUACGGCUCGCGCACCACCGCGGACGAGGCCACCCUGCCCGCCGGCGACCUGAGCCACAUCACCGCCAUCGUCACCGGCGCGACCUCGGGCAUCGGCGCCGAGACGGCCCGCGUGCUGGCCCGGCGCGGCGCCAGGCUCGUGCUCCCGGCGCGCAACCUCAAGGCGGCCGAGGAGACCCGCGCCCGCAUCCUCGCCGACCUCGGGGACGCCGGCUCCGGCGGCGGCCGCGUCGUGGUGCUCCCGCUCGACCUCUCCUCCCUCGCCUCCGUCCGCCGCUUCGUCCACCGCUUCCUCGCCCUCCGCCUCCCCCUCAACCUCCUCAUAAACAACGCGGGGCAGUACGCGGAGCGGUUCGCGGUGUCGGAGGACGGCGUGGAGAUGACCUUCGCCACCAACUACCUGGGCCACUUCCUGCUCACGGAGCUGCUUCUGCCCGCCAUGGCGGACACGGCCAGGGCCACCGGCGUGCAGGGCCGCGUCGUGAACGUCUCCUCCACCGUGCACGCCUGGUUCGCCGCCGACGCCGGCGACGACGGGCCCCUCGCCUACCUCCACCGCGUCACCCGCAAGGCCACGCCGUACGAUCCGACGCGGGCCUACGCGCUGUCCAAGCUCGCCAACGUGCUCCACACCACGGCCCUCGCCGGCCGGCUCAGGGAGAUGGGCGCCGACGUCACCGCCAACUGCGUCCACCCCGGCAUCGUCCGCACCCGCCUCAUCCGCGACCGCGCCGGCCUCGUCACCAACACGGUGUUCUUCCUGGCGUCCAAGCUCCUCAAGACGGUCCCCCAGGCGGCGGCGACGACGUGCUACGCGGCGGUGCACCCGGCGGUGGCGGGGGUGUCGGGGAGGUACUUCGCCGACUGCAACGAGGCGGCGCCGUCGAGGCUGGCGUGCAGCGCCGAGGAGGCCUCCAGGCUGUGGAGCUUCUCCGAGGCCAUCACCGCCGAGAAGGAGAAGGAGGAGAGUGCUCUUCCCGUCACCAGCUUCAGGUUCCAGGUCCAGAGCUCCAACGCCGACCGCGGCAUGGCCAUCGCAUAG
RNAcentral lists this ribosomal RNA (1089 nucleotides) under Triticum aestivum (bread wheat). RNAcentral's name for it is "partial small subunit ribosomal RNA". The record is from RNAcentral. Lineage: Eukaryota; Viridiplantae; Streptophyta; Magnoliopsida; Poales; Poaceae.